This 497-nucleotide ribosomal RNA is filed under the name uncultured bacterium. RNAcentral describes it as "partial 16S ribosomal RNA". It matches the Rfam family "Bacterial small subunit ribosomal RNA", at positions 28 to 507 of the family's 1533-position model. The record is from RNAcentral.
GAUGAACGCUGGCGGCGUGCCUAAUACAUGCAAGUCGAGCGAACAGACGAGGAGCUUGCUCCUCUGACGUUAGCGGCGGACGGGUGAGUAACACGUGGAUAACCUACCUAUAGGACUGGGAUAACUUCGGGAAACCGGAGCUAAUACCGGAUAAUAUAUUGAACCGCAUGGUUCAAUAGUGAAAGACGGUUUUGCUGUCACUUAUACAUGGAUCCGCGCCGCAUUAGCUAGUUGGUAAGGUAACGGCUUACCAAGGCGACGAUGCGUAGCCGACCUGAGAGGGUGAUCGGACACACUGGAACUGAGACACGGUCCAGACUCCUACGGGAGGCAGCAGUAGGGAAUAUUCCGCAAUGGGCGAAAGCCUGACGGAGCAACGCCGCGUGAGUGAUGAAGGUCUUCGGAUCGUAAAACUCUGUUAUUAGGGAAGAACAAAUGUGUAAGUAACUAUGCCCGUCUUGACGGUACCUAAUCAGAAAGCCACGGCUAACUACGUG